This 253-nucleotide ribosomal RNA is filed under the name uncultured bacterium. RNAcentral describes it as "partial 16S ribosomal RNA". It matches the Rfam family "Bacterial small subunit ribosomal RNA", at positions 524 to 776 of the family's 1533-position model. The record is from RNAcentral.
UACGUAGGGUGCAAGCGUUGUCCGGAAUUAUUGGGCGUAAAGAGCUCGUAGGCGGUUUGUCGCGUCGUCCGUGAAAACUUGGGGCUCAACCCCAAGCUUGCGGGCGAUACGGGCAGACUUGAGUACUGCAGGGGAGACUGGAAUUCCUGGUGUAGCGGUGAAAUGCGCAGAUAUCAGGAGGAACACCGGUGGCGAAGGCGGGUCUCUGGGCAGUAACUGACGCUGAGGAGCGAAAGCGUGGGUAGCGAACAGG